UACGUAGGGUGCGAGCGUUGUCCGGAAUUACUGGGCGUAAAGAGCUCGUAGGUGGUUUGUCGCGUUGUUCGUGAAAACUCACAGCUUAACUGUGGGCGUGCGGGCGAUACGGGCAGACUGGAGUACUGCAGGGGAGACUGGAAUUCCUGGUGUAGCGGUGGAAUGCGCAGAUAUCAGGAGGAACACCGGUGGCGAAGGCGGGUCUCUGGGCAGUAACUGACGCUGAGGAGCGAAAGCGAGGGGAGCGAACAGG
This 253-nucleotide ribosomal RNA is filed under the name uncultured bacterium. RNAcentral's name for it is "partial 16S ribosomal RNA". It matches the Rfam family "Bacterial small subunit ribosomal RNA", at positions 524 to 776 of the family's 1533-position model. The record is from RNAcentral.